RNAcentral lists this transfer RNA (71 nucleotides) under Urocitellus parryii (Arctic ground squirrel). RNAcentral describes it as "Spermophilus parryii (Arctic ground squirrel) tRNA". It matches the Rfam family "tRNA". From Rfam's summary of the family: Transfer RNA (tRNA) molecules are approximately 80 nucleotides in length. Their secondary structure includes four short double-helical elements and three loops (D, anti-codon, and T loops). The record is from Rfam by way of RNAcentral. Lineage: Eukaryota; Metazoa; Chordata; Mammalia; Rodentia; Sciuridae. RNAcentral also lists the same sequence under 2 other names.
GUAUAUGGCUCAGUUGGUAGAGUGCUUGCCUUGCAUGCACAAGGCCCUGGGUUCAAUCCCCAGCACAAACA